This 256-nucleotide ribosomal RNA is filed under the name uncultured bacterium. Its description in RNAcentral is "partial 16S ribosomal RNA". It matches the Rfam family "Bacterial small subunit ribosomal RNA", at positions 521 to 776 of the family's 1533-position model. The record is from RNAcentral.
UAAUACGAAGGGUGCAAGCGUUACUCGGAAUUACUGGGCGUAAAGCGUGCGUAGGUGGUGGUUUAAGUCCGUUGUGAAAGCCCUGGGCUCAACCUGGGAAUUGCAGUGGAUACUGGAUCACUAGAGUGUGGUAGAGGGAUGCGGAAUUUCUGGUGUAGCAGUGAAAUGCGUAGAGAUCAGAAGGAACAUCCGUGGCGAAGGCGGCAUCCUGGGCCAACACUGACACUGAGGCACGAAAGCGUGGGGAGCAAACAGG